ACAAACCUAAAGAUACUGCACAAUACUAUCUAUCACCUUCAUAACAUCAACCUCCAAAUCAUUCCAAUCCAAAAUCACAGGCAAAACUCACCCCACAAUUUCAUAAGACCAACAUGUAAUGUUAACAAUUUUAACAAGAUCACACAACCUACAAAAUCAAGCUCGCAACACCAUGAUCAUAUAAUUAUUGUUUCUUUCACUCUUGUUUUUUU
Molecule: non-coding RNA, 212 nt
Organism: Vicia faba (fava bean)
Lineage: Eukaryota; Viridiplantae; Streptophyta; Magnoliopsida; Fabales; Fabaceae
Source: the annotation of a GenBank genome assembly